UACAGAGGGUGCAAGCGUUAAUCGGAGUUACUGGGCGUAAAGGGCGCGUAGGCGGUUAUUUAAGUUAGAUGUGAAAUCCCUGGGCUUAACCUGGGAACUGCAUUUGAUACUGGAUGACUAGAGUACUGUAGAGGGUAGUGGAAUUUCCGGUGUAGCGGUGAAAUGCGUAGAGAUCGGAAGGAACACCAGUGGCGAAGGCGGCUACCUGGACAGAUACUGACGCUGAGGCGCGAGAGCGUGGGGAGCAAACAGG
RNAcentral lists this ribosomal RNA (253 nucleotides) under uncultured bacterium. Its description in RNAcentral is "partial 16S ribosomal RNA". It matches the Rfam family "Bacterial small subunit ribosomal RNA", at positions 524 to 776 of the family's 1533-position model. The record is from RNAcentral.